Molecule: transfer RNA, 55 nt
Filed under: Collinsella sp. CAG:289
Lineage: Bacteria; Bacillati; Actinomycetota; Coriobacteriia; Coriobacteriales; Coriobacteriaceae
Rfam family: tRNA
About the family: Transfer RNA (tRNA) molecules are approximately 80 nucleotides in length. Their secondary structure includes four short double-helical elements and three loops (D, anti-codon, and T loops). Further hydrogen bonds mediate the characteristic L-shaped molecular structure. tRNAs have two regions of fundamental functional importance: the anti-codon, which is responsible for specific mRNA codon recognition, and the 3' end, to which the tRNAs corresponding amino acid is attached (by aminoacyl-tRNA synthetases). tRNAs cope with the degeneracy of the genetic code in two manners: having more than one tRNA (with a specific anti-codon) for a particular amino acid; and 'wobble' base-pairing, i.e. permitting non-standard base-pairing at the 3rd anti-codon position.
Source: Rfam by way of RNAcentral
GCGGACAUGGCUCAGUUGGUAGAGCACAACCUUGCCAAGGUUGGGGUCGCGGGUU